UUUAAUUAGCCAAACCAGGCUGCUCUUGAAUAUAAUUGCUUUCCUUAGCCGAAAGCACACUACUGUAAUUACUCAUCAUUAAGCGCACAAAGCCGUGAAAAGAAUUGUAUAAAAAACAUAUAAUCAUGCUUUCCUAAAAAAAAACAUACAAUCAUAGUACUGCUUUAAAAUAAAAUAAAAUAAAGUAAAAACAUUAGAGGAAAAAAUGGUUAUAAAUUGUCGCAUUUUUUUUUUAAUAUGCAGAGGAAUUAAUUGUUG
This 258-nucleotide long non-coding RNA is filed under the name Cicer arietinum (chickpea). RNAcentral's name for it is "long non-coding RNA (CARI_LNC001029)". The record is from RNAcentral. Lineage: Eukaryota; Viridiplantae; Streptophyta; Magnoliopsida; Fabales; Fabaceae.